GUAGUCUCGCACAGAUGCAUAUCAAUAAGCGGAGGAAAAGAAACUAACAAGGAUUCCCUCAGUAACGGCGAGUGAAGCGGGAAGAGCUCAAAUUUGAAAUCUUGAAAGGUCGCCUUUCACGAAUUGUAGUUUAAAGAAGUGUUUUCUGUUACGAUCGUAAUAUAAGUUCUUUGGAAUAGGACAUCACAGAGGAUGAGAAUCCCGUCUAUGAUUGCGAUUUGUAGCUUUGUGAUACACUUUCAAAGAGUCGGGUUGUUUGGGAAUGCAGCCCAAAACGGGAGGUAAAUUUCAUCUAAGGCUAAAUAUUGGCGAGAGACCGAUAGCGAACAAGUACCGUGAGGGAAAGAUGAAAAGAACUUUGAAAAGAGAGUUAAACAGUACGUGAAAUUGUCAAAAGGGAAGCGUUUAACACCAGUGUUGUUUUCUGAAAAUCAACCUCUGUUAGCUUUAUGCAUGUUUGUUUAGACCUAAUCAGCUAUCUUGCAUGUUCUAUUGUUUGCAGUGGUGCACUUUUCAGUUUACAGGUCAACAUCAGUUUUUUUUACCGUAAAAAAGUUAAAGAAAGGUAGCUCAUGGCUCCGGUCGUGAGUGUUAUAGUCUUUUUCCUAUGCGGUAGGAGAGACUGAGGUCUGCAGUGUAGGCUAUUUGGCUAGAUACUCAGGUGCUAUGUGAUACCAUUUCAUAAACAACUUGUUGAUUAUGUUUUGUCUAUUGCAUACUCGCUUGUACUAUCAUACCUACGCUUAGGAUGUUGAAGAUGUAGCACAUCAU
RNAcentral lists this ribosomal RNA (771 nucleotides) under uncultured Neocallimastigales. Its description in RNAcentral is "partial large subunit ribosomal RNA". It matches the Rfam family "Eukaryotic large subunit ribosomal RNA", at positions 24 to 635 of the family's 3401-position model. Lineage: Eukaryota; Fungi; Neocallimastigomycota; Neocallimastigomycetes; Neocallimastigales. The record is from RNAcentral.